Molecule: ribosomal RNA, 1033 nt
Filed under: Psychrobacter sp. ZYFD009
Lineage: Bacteria; Pseudomonadati; Pseudomonadota; Gammaproteobacteria; Moraxellales; Moraxellaceae
Description: bacterial SSU rRNA
Rfam family: Bacterial small subunit ribosomal RNA
Source: RNAcentral
GCGAGCUUACCAUGCAGUCGAGCGGAACGAUGAUAGCUUGCUAUCAGGCGUCGAGCGGCGGACGGGUGAGUAAUACUUAGGAAUCUACCUAGUAGUGGGGGAUAGCUCGGGGAAACUCGAAUUAAUACCGCAUACGUCCUACGGGAGAAAGCAGGGGAUCAUUAGACCUUGCGCUAUUAGAUGAGCCUAAGUCGGAUUAGCUAGAUGGUGGGGUAAAGGCCUACCAUGGCGACGAUCUGUAGCUGGUCUGAGAGGAUGAUCAGCCACACCGGGACUGAGACACGGCCCGGACUCCUACGGGAGGCAGCAGUGGGGAAUAUUGGACAAUGGGGGGAACCCUGAUCCAGCCAUGCCGCGUGUGUGAAGAAGGCCUUUUGGUUGUAAAGCACUUUAAGCAGUGAAGAAGACUCUUCGGUUAAUACCCGGGGACGAUGACAUUAGCUGCAGAAUAAGCACCGGCUAACUCUGUGCCAGCAGCCGCGGUAAUACAGAGGGUGCAAGCGUUAAUCGGAAUUACUGGGCGUAAAGCGAGCGUAGGUGGCUUGAUAAGUCAGAUGUGAAAUCCCCGGGCUUAACCUGGGAACUGCAUCUGAAACUGUUAGGCUAGAGUAGGUGAGAGGGAAGUAGAAUUUCAGGUGUAGCGGUGAAAUGCGUAGAGAUCUGAAGGAAUACCGAUGGCGAAGGCAGCUUCCUGGCAUCAUACUGACACUGAGGCUCGAAAGCGUGGGUAGCAAACAGGAUUAGAUACCCUGGUAGUCCACGCCGUAAACGAUGUCUACUAGUCGUUGGGUCCCUUGAGGACUUAGUGACGCAGCUAACGCAAUAAGUAGACCGCCUGGGGAGUACGGCCGCAAGGUUAAAACUCAAAUGAAUUGACGGGGGCCCGCACAAGCGGUGGAGCAUGUGGUUUAAUUCGAUGCAACGCGAAGAACCUUACCUGGUCUUGACAUACACAGAAUCUUGUAGAGAUACGAGAGUGCCUUCGGGAAUUGUGAUACAGGUGCUGCAUGGCUGUCGUCAGCUCGUGUCGUGG